Molecule: ribosomal RNA, 1064 nt
Filed under: Rhodococcus erythropolis
Lineage: Bacteria; Bacillati; Actinomycetota; Actinomycetes; Mycobacteriales; Nocardiaceae
Description: bacterial SSU rRNA
Rfam family: Bacterial small subunit ribosomal RNA
Source: RNAcentral
UCAAGGUUCGAGCGGUAAGGCCUUUCGGGGUACACGAGCGGCGAACGGGUGAGUAACACGUGGGUGAUCUGCCCUGCACUUCGGGAUAAGCCUGGGAAACUGGGUCUAAUACCGGAUAUGACCUCCUAUCGCAUGAUGUGUGGUGGAAAGAUUUAUCGGUGCAGGAUGGGCCCGCGGCCUAUCAGCUUGUUGGUGGGGUAAUGGCCUACCAAGGCGACGACGGGUAGCCGACCUGAGAGGGUGACCGGCCACACUGGGACUGAGACACGGCCCAGACUCCUACGGGAGGCAGCAGUGGGGAAUAUUGCACAAUGGGCGAAAGCCUGAUGCAGCGACGCCGCGUGAGGGAUGACGGCCUUCGGGUUGUAAACCUCUUUCAGCAGGGACGAAGCGCAAGUGACGGUACCUGCAGAAGAAGCACCGGCUAACUACGUGCCAGCAGCCGCGGUAAUACGUAGGGUGCAAGCGUUGUCCGGAAUUACUGGGCGUAAAGAGUUCGUAGGCGGUUUGUCGCGUCGUUUGUGAAAACCAGCAGCUCAACUGCUGGCUUGCAGGCGAUACGGGCAGACUUGAGUACUGCAGGGGAGACUGGAAUUCCUGGUGUAGCGGUGAAAUGCGCAGAUAUCAGGAGGAACACCGGUGGCGAAGGCGGGUCUCUGGGCAGUAACUGACGCUGAGGAACGAAAGCGUGGGUAGCGAACAGGAUUAGAUACCCUGGUAGUCCACGCCGUAAACGGUGGGCGCUAGGUGUGGGUUCCUUCCACGGAAUCCGUGCCGUAGCUAACGCAUUAAGCGCCCCGCCUGGGGGAGUACGGCCGCAAGGCUAAAACUCAAAGGAAUUGACGGGGGCCCGCACAAGCGGCGGAGCAUGUGGAUUAAUUCGAUGCACGCGAGAACCUUACCUGGGUUUGACAUAUACCGAAAGCUGCAGAGAUGUGGCCCCCUUGUGGUCGGUAUACAAGUGGUGCAUGCCUGUCGUCAGCUCGUGUCGUGGAAGGUGGUAGUCCCGGCACGACGCCAACCCUAUCUUAUGUUGGCAGCACGCUAUGGUGGGACUGCUAAAG